Molecule: ribosomal RNA, 460 nt
Filed under: uncultured bacterium
Lineage: Bacteria
Description: partial 16S ribosomal RNA
Rfam family: Bacterial small subunit ribosomal RNA
Source: RNAcentral
CCUACGUGAGGCUGCAGUGAGGAAUAUUGGUCAAUGGGCGCGAGCCUGAACCAGCCAAGUAGCGUGAAGGAUGACUGCCCUACGGGUUGUAAACUUCUUUUAUAAAGGAAUAAAGUGAGGCACGUGUGCCUUUUUGUAUGUACUUUAUGAAUAAGGAUCGGCUAACUCCGUGCCAGCAGCCGCGGUAAUACGGAGGAUCCGAGCGUUAUCCGGAUUUAUUGGGUUUAAAGGGAGCGUAGAUGGGUUGUUAAGUCAGUUGUGAAAGUUUGCGGACUAACCGUAAAAUUGCAAGUGAUACUGGCAGUCUUGAGUACAGUUGAGGUAGGCGGAAUUCGUGGUGUAGCGGUGAAAUGCUUAGAUAUCACGAAGAACUCCGAUUGCGAAGGCAGCUUACUAAACUGCCACUGACAUUGAUGCUCGAAAGUGUGGGUAUCAAACAGGAUUAGAUACCCGAGUAGUC